RNAcentral lists this ribosomal RNA (375 nucleotides) under uncultured organism. Its description in RNAcentral is "partial 16S ribosomal RNA". It matches the Rfam family "Bacterial small subunit ribosomal RNA", at positions 527 to 896 of the family's 1533-position model. The record is from RNAcentral.
GUAGGUGGCAAGCGUUGUCCGGAAUUAUUGGGCGUAAAGCGCGCGCAGGCGGUCCUUUAAGUCUGAUGUGAAAGCCCACGGCUCAACCGUGGAGGGUCAUUGGAAACUGGGGGACUUGAGUGCAGAAGAGGAGAGUGGAAUUCCACGUGUAGCGGUGAAAUGCGUAGAGAUGUGGAGGAACACCAGUGGCGAAGGCGACUCUCUGGUCUGUAACUGACGCUGAGGCGCGAAAGCGUGGGGGGAGCGAACAGGAUUAGAUACCCUGGUAGUCCACGCCGUAAACGAUGAGUGCUAAGUGUUAGAGGGUUUCCCGCCCUUUAGUGCUGCAGCUAACGCAUUAAGCACUCCCGCCUGGGGAGUACGGUCGCAAGACUG